GCAACGUGUGAACGUGUUGAACGCGAGC
RNAcentral lists this small RNA (28 nucleotides) under Bombyx mori (domestic silkworm). RNAcentral's name for it is "ovarian small RNA-16235". Lineage: Eukaryota; Metazoa; Arthropoda; Insecta; Lepidoptera; Bombycidae. The record is from RNAcentral.